This 539-nucleotide ribosomal RNA is filed under the name uncultured eukaryote. RNAcentral describes it as "SSU rRNA". It matches the Rfam family "Eukaryotic small subunit ribosomal RNA", at positions 553 to 1098 of the family's 1831-position model. The record is from RNAcentral.
GGGCAAGUCUGGUGCCAGCAGCCGCGGUAAUUCCAGCUCCAAUAGCGUAUAUUAAAGUUGUUGCAGUUAAAAAGCUCGUAGUUGAAUUUUUGAUCUGGCCAAGGUGUCGGCCGCAAGGUCUGUACUUCUUGGCUGGAUCUUUCCUUCUGGAGAGCCAUUAUGCCAUUUAUUUGGUGUUUUGGGGAUCCAGGACUUUUACCUUGAAAAAAUUAGAGUGUUUAAAGCAGGCAUACGCUUGAAUACAUUAGCAUGGAAUAAUAGAAUAGGACUUUGGUUCUAUUUUGUUGGUUUCUAGGACCGAAGUAAUGAUUAAUAGGGACAGUUGGGGGCAUUAGUAUUUCAAAGUCAGAGGUGAAAUUCUUGGAUUUUUGAAAGACUAACUUCUGCGAAAGCAUUUGCCAAGGAUGUUUUCAUUAAUCAAGAACGAAAGUUAGGGGAUCGAAGACGAUCAGAUACCGUCGUAGUCUUAACCAUAAACUAUGCCGACUAGGGAUCGGACGAUGUUACUUUAUUGACUCGUUCGGCGCCUUACGGGAAAC